Molecule: long non-coding RNA, 481 nt
Organism: Schistocerca nitens (vagrant locust)
Lineage: Eukaryota; Metazoa; Arthropoda; Insecta; Orthoptera; Acrididae
Exons: 3
Source: RefSeq, a predicted model, not a curated record
CAGACCCCCGCUGCAAGGACCCUUUCAACUACACUGCCCUGCCACGUGAUCAACCUCCACUCAUGACUUGCAAUGGCUGUUGUGUUAAGAUGGUCCGCAAUGCACGAUCAAUGACUUGCAGUUCACCAACACUGGACAAAAUCUUCUAGCUGGCUGUAUAGGAGUAAAGGUGCCAGCCCAAACACUGAGACCACCUUAGAAGGAAAGAAAGAGAUAUGCAAAAGAAAGGAAGAGGACAUCUGAAAAAUAGCAGUGGCACUUUUGAAGGUUGCAGGAAGUCUGGGAGCAAAGAAAAUUACAAACAUUGAAGCAAAACCAAAGUUGUUUUAUUGUGCCACCCAAAAGGGUUAUUGGAAUAAAUAAAUGCAAGAAACGCAAUUAAGUUGCCUACCGACUGAGUGAUGAAACUACUACAUAUGUACAUGGUCUAUAUCUACAUCUGCAUCUACGUACAGCUACAUACAUAAUCUAUAAACCACAU